This 604-nucleotide long non-coding RNA is filed under the name Ananas comosus (pineapple). Its description in RNAcentral is "long non-coding RNA (ACOM_LNC039052)". Lineage: Eukaryota; Viridiplantae; Streptophyta; Magnoliopsida; Poales; Bromeliaceae. The record is from RNAcentral.
ACUUAGCAUUUUUCUUCUGUACUAACCUGCAGGAGGGGACCUCUCACCACUACAACAGAAUUAGGUUAUAGGGACACAUGUUUGGAACACUUUUGAGUAAGUGUCUCAUUUAUCCUAAAACUUAAAAAAACAUCUACUAAUAUCUAAAUAUAAAGCCCAAUCCAACCAAAAAUAAAAGAUUACUCUACUCAACCCAGCACACCCAGUCCAUUUGGCCCGACUACAAACAGAAAAGAAAAAAAAAAAGUAAAAUCAAUUACCAUCUUUUCUUUUCUCUUCACUCAAUCCACCGAAAUUCUAGACGAAAAGCCUUUCCUGUCGUCCUCUUCGGCCACCGCAGCCAACGAGAUAGAGUUUCAACGGUUGCUAAAUGCUUAAAUAAGUAUUGGUAAAUUAGCAGCACUCUUUUAGAUUAUAGCGACACUCUUUAACUGUCACUAUAUACCUAGCGACCCCACAUAUAGCAACACUUUUUAAAAGUGUCGGUAAUUUUAGCUAGCAGUAAUUUUUUGACAUGUACCUACAUUUAAAAGUGUCGCUAUAGACCGUUUUUGUUGUAGUGAUGCACUGGCUGACGUAGGUGUUCCCUAUAUACUUUAUGCGC